Molecule: ribosomal RNA, 450 nt
Filed under: uncultured bacterium
Lineage: Bacteria
Description: partial 16S ribosomal RNA
Rfam family: Bacterial small subunit ribosomal RNA
Source: RNAcentral
GUGGGGAAUCUUCCGCAAUGGACGAAAGUCUGACGGAGCAACGCCGCGUGAGUGAUGAAGGUCUUCGGAUUGUAAAGCUCUGUUAAUCGGGACGAAAGAGCCUAGUGUGAAUAAUGCUAGGAAGUGACGGUACCGGAAUAGAAAGCCACGGCUAACUACGUGCCAGCAGCCGCGGUAAUACGUAGGUGGCAAGCGUUGUCCGGAAUUAUUGGGCGUAAAGCGCGCGCAGGCGGAUCUGCCAGUCUGUCUUAAAAGUUCGGGGCUUAACCCCGUGAUGGGAUGGAAACUACAGAUCUAGAGUAUCGGGGAGGAAAGUGGAAUUCCUAGUGUAGCGGUGAAAUGCGUAGAUAUUAGGAAGAACACCAGUGGCGAAGGCGACUUUCUGGACGAAAACUGACGCUGAGGCGCGAAAGCCAGGGGAGCGAACGGGAUUAGAUACCCCUGUAGUCC